Molecule: ribosomal RNA, 247 nt
Filed under: Auriscalpium sp.
Lineage: Eukaryota; Fungi; Basidiomycota; Agaricomycetes; Russulales; Auriscalpiaceae
Description: partial 28S ribosomal RNA
Rfam family: Eukaryotic large subunit ribosomal RNA
Source: RNAcentral
AAAGCUCAAAUUUAAAAUCUGGCGGUCUCUGGCCGUCCGAGUUGUAUUCUGGAGAAGUGUUUUCCGCGCUGGACCGUGUACAAGUCUCCUGGAACGGAGCGUCAUAGAGGGUGAGAAUCCCGUCUUUGACACGGACUACCAGUGCUUUGUGAUGCGCUCUCAAAGAGUCGAGUUGUUUGGGAAUGCAGCUCAAAAUGGGUGGUGAAUUCCAUCUAAAGCUAAAUAUUGGCGAGAGACCGAUNGCGAA